ACUGGCAGGAUUCACAUUCUCCACUGUAGGAUAAGGCACAUUUCAUGCACUCACACCAUUUCCUCUCCUUGCUUGCUUAACUCACAUGCCUCAAAUCUGAGAUCUGCACAGAGACAAGAGGCAAAAAAUCUAGAAUUGCCUAGCAGUAAUCUCCUUAAACCAUAUACUGGGCUAGGUGUUUUUAUAUGAGAGGAAGGGAACCUAAGGCAAGCUUUUAUAAAGCAAACAUUGCAAUCCUUUCCCUUUCCUCCUCUGUGGUGUGCAGUAUUCCUGUAAGAGAAAUGUUUCUAGGGGAACAUUUGGAAGGGCCUUGGAAAAGGAAAAGAAUUACAGACCAUGAGAAGAUGGGAAAAAAGGAGUGACAUCAUCUAGAUUGGAGCCCUGGUACAGCAGAAGUACUUUUGCAGUCAGUUGCUCCUCAUGACUUUGUAUUCUUGGGAAUUAAGGAAGAAAAGGGGGAAGCUAACUGCUUCAUGCAUGCUUGGGAGAGGAAGAAAAAAGUCUGAAAAUACUACAGCAUCUAGGAGAAAUUAUGGACCAGUUAUCUGGUCCAACAGUUUCAAGGCAUUGCUGAGAAGUCAGGCUCCUCUUCCUUCAUUUUAGCCUCUCAGACUUCAGGUGCUAAUCAAGGAAAUGCAGAAUUCUGAUAUUUGCCAAGGCCAAGGUAUGGCUCAACCAGGUGAUGUCAUCCUACACUUCUGAGGCUCCAUCCACCAUCCAGCUGUCUCUGAUACUGCAGAUGUCUCCCUUUGUGCUCCCUAAGCACCUAUAUGCAGCACAGAAGAGCUGUGAGACCUAGAAAGGAAGAGUGGGAGAAGAGUCCUGCAAAGCAGUAUUAUUUCCCUACCAUAUGGACCGCUUUCCACAAACUGUGCUGACAAGUUGCUCUGCAGGAAAGGAUUGUGCAACACUCGAGGACUACGAGUCUUUGGGAAGAGGCAGAAAACAUGCAUUCAGAACUCCAGAAAGGGAAGCAGUAAGAGAAAUUGCCUAAAUUAUGGAUAAUCUGCUGCAUAAAUCUGUCUUCUCCUGUUUUAUAAAGCUUCCUAUCCAUGCAAUUUGGAAACUUGUAUCGACAGUGAAAGCCAAGAGGAUUCAAGAAAAGAGUGCAGUUUUGCUCUGGAGGCUGCCCUGCAUGGUGUUGAAAAUAAGCUCUAUUUCUGAGGAUCACAUUCUUUUAUUUAGCAGGGUGGUCUUGCCUUGGAUUUUUCUCUGGAGAAUUCAAUUUGGAGAUGAGGUGAUUGCUUCAAUCUGCUAUCAGUUGAACAGCAUGGAUGGAAAGGAUGUGGAGAUGAAAUUUGCAACACAGGCUUUACAAAUGACUUGCCAUUUAAAGCAUCUAAAUGAGAAGCUCCAGUAUCAUCCCUCCCCUGUCCUGACUCCAGUCAUACAAGAACCCUGUAGAGGACUGUAAAAGCACAGUGAGUUUUUGACUUCCAGAUGAAAGACAACAAAAAUUGUGAUUAAAUCAAAUUAGUUUGUCUUACUAGAAACCAGUUUUUUUUCUUCUAUGAAAGCAAAUUUAUUCUCAGUGUAUUGAGGGCUGUUUAAGUUACACCUAAAGCAAAGCAAGCAAGCAGUGGAGAAGCCUGUUUUGACAGAAGGAUCAUAUAUUAACCCUUUUGGACCCAAACUGAACUGCUGUAGAAAGCUUUGUCCAGAUUAAAAUAUUAUCAAUGAUAUGGCUCAGGAAAAUACCUCUUGUUGUAAUGUAUAAAUAAAUUCUUAUGAGAUUAACAGAAUUUGUAACAGAUUUCAGUAGCAUGACUCAACAUUGACAGGCUUUAAGCAAAUUCAUCUUGAGAAGGAUACUAUAAAAUAAUACUUUAAAAUAAUCUGUAAACUCACUUCAGAGCAACAAGUAUUUCAAGUGCUGUUGUGGUCUGACAAGUGACUUCAACAGAAUUCUGUAUAAUAAAUCUCUAAUCUGUGAACCAUGCAGUUAAGGUAUCCUUGUUAUGUUUAAAAUACAUUUUACUGCUUUUGGUAGUGCUGUAGUACAUGGGAGACAUUGAGAUGAAGCUGAAUUGAUUGAGACUAAAGCAAACCAAGUUCAGGUUCCCUAUAAACAAGCUGCAGGUUAAGGCCUAUCUGUUUAAUGCCAUUAGAGUAAAUUCUCCCUUUUUUGCUUCCAACUGAUUGAUGGUACUUCCUGGACUGUAAUGAAUUUUCUACUUUUUAAUUUUUCCAAGCUUUCCAGAGGCCUUUAAUUCUUCUGAAGAAAUAUAAAGGCAGCUAAAAACUGGGGAUGAGGUGGUGGUGUUUGGGUGGCAGGAACUCUGUUUUAUUGAUGCAGAAUACCAAGGUAGUGCUGUGUGGCAUUAAAACCUGGUAACACAGCAAGAGAAGGAGAAUGCCUGGGGCAGGAGGCUGCUUAAUUUACCAUUGAACACUCAUGAAACUCUGCUCUCCUGAGUGUAAACCUAUUUCCAGAAGGUUUGCUUGCUUUUAUGAAGUAUUUUCAGGACUGUGAACUAGAGAGAAAAAAUGCUAACAAUCACCAGUGUUCAGUCUUUUUUUCCCCCAAACUCAUCAGUGUUGCAUAUCAUUUCAAGUACUGCUUUUUUAAAAAAGAGAUUCUAACUGUGUCAGUUAAAGACUGUUUGUGUAUGUUUUUCUAGUUUGUAUAUGUAUUUUCAUUGGAAUUCUUCUGUUUGGGCUAGACAUGUUUGCUCA
Molecule: non-coding RNA, 2676 nt
Organism: Cyanistes caeruleus (blue tit)
Lineage: Eukaryota; Metazoa; Chordata; Aves; Passeriformes; Paridae
Source: RefSeq, a predicted model, not a curated record